Oryza meridionalis is the source of this 188-nucleotide non-coding RNA. The record is from Rfam. NCBI's taxonomy places the organism in Eukaryota, Viridiplantae, Streptophyta, Magnoliopsida, Poales, Poaceae.
CAUGAGUUUUUUUUUCUAUCCAACUUUAAUCGUCCGUCUUAUAUAAUUUUUUUACGGUUAGUAUUUUUGUUGUUAUUAGAUGAUAAAAAUGAAUAUUACUUUAUACAUGACUUAUUUUUUUUAACUUUUAAAAAAUUAAUAAAACGGAUGAUUAAAGUUUGACAUAAAAACUGAUGACCACGCUUAAA